Long non-coding RNA from Corvus hawaiiensis (hawaiian crow), 2073 nucleotides. RefSeq lists it as uncharacterized. The record is from RefSeq and is a predicted model, not a curated record. The transcript has 3 exons. Lineage: Eukaryota; Metazoa; Chordata; Aves; Passeriformes; Corvidae.
AAGAAUUGCUUGAAUUAAGUAUCCUAUUCUAGUUUGUUAAUAUGUUAGAAGAUAAUUCAGACUUUGUUCAUACAAGUAUUUCUGCAAAAUACAGUGAUUUCUAGGAAAGCUAUAAAUUUAUCUCUAAAUAAAAGUCUCUCUGAACACUAGUACAGAGAAUGAGCAAAGAUAUUUUCCAACCUAAAUGAUUCUCUGAUUCUAUGAUCCUAGAAGAUAUACCUUUGGUACCCUCUAUUAGAAAUUUGCCUGUGUUAAAUAACUGACUUGUAUUAGUUAGUUCUGAAUCACUUGCAACAAAUUUAUUGGCAUAUAUUUUAUGUUUUCUCUCUUAAGAAUAUGAGUUCUUUCUUUGUAACUUUGAGGGUUUGACCCCAUGCAUUUCUCAGAACAAAUGUUUCAGGUAAGUUCCAUUGAUGAUUGUUGUCAUCCAGUGAAAAAUCCAGACUUAGUCACCACCUUCCUAAAUCUCUACGAAUGUAUGCCAUGACUGAAUUUCACCUGCCUGAUGCAAAGACAAACAAAAAGAAAUGCUGCAAUGCACAUGUCCAUUGGUAAGAAGUUACUCUGUUUUAUGGGGUUUGUGCCAAAUGAACACCAUUUUAUGGAUCACUGCAAAGCACAGUUGUGGAGUUAUUGGGCUAUGGAGUCUCCAAAACUGCAGGUAUGGAAUUGAUCCCAUUUUGAGAGAGGUGGUAGACUGGAUGCCCACUUGAGGUUUCUUCUUCUGCAUUGCUUUUAUUGAUUCUUCUACAGUCCAAUAAAAAUUGUUAUUAUACUCCUGUGAGAGGAGAAGCUUAAACAGCAAGGCAAGAAUGACAAUCAAGAAUAAAAAUUGCUAAAGGAAAGUAAGUCUCCUGCCAUAGCUCAACUGCCUGAGCAGUCACUAAAGAAAAUAAGUGACUGGGUUUUUUGCUUUAGAGACAUAUGGAAGGAAACAAGAAAAAACAUGGAAAAGAAAAAAACUGACUUAGCCAAGUUGCAUUAAUAAUCCAUUUUAUUUCACCAGGCAGAUUCAGAUUUCUUUAAAAAAUAGUAUCUUUUUCCCCCAAAGAACAGUAGUGUGGCUGUGGUGAAAAUGUGCAUUGUGCUUGCUAUUCAAAAAGUGCCUUAUUAAAUUAAAUUUAUAAAUGAAUGAAAGAAACUCUACAAUGCCUCUCAAGUGGAUUCCCUGUGAAUCUUAGGCUGUCACAUUUAGCUAUAUAUUCCAAGUUAGAUGGAAUUAUAAUGAGAGCAUAGAAAGAUUUAGUAAGGAUAGAGAGUCAUAGAGAGUGACAACAGUGCUGAAUGAGGCUGAUAACUACACUGAAGUGCACCACACUACUGAGGCUUCAGUGUGAGCACGUUUCAAGGAGAACAAAAGUACACAGCAAUAUAUGCAGUUGCUACCAUUACUACAUAAAUACUCACUCAUUAAAAUAAUACAGAAAAAAACCCCAAAUCAGUGUUACACUGGAAUGCAGGAUGAGUAAAUACUUGCUGUAGAAAGGAUGCCUGACUUAAAAAUCCAAGCGUGCGCCACAUGCUUACCCUCUGCAAGAGAUCUCCAAAUUUUCAUUAAAGGUAUGGUAUUUUGAAGUAUUGAUGAAAACCUUUAACAUUUUACAUUUGGUCAAAGAAUGUUAUGUGAACACUCUGUUCACGACUUAUUUUUCAGGAAUUCCAAAGCAUGAAAUAGUUUGAAGGACUUCAGAAAUGUGGACCUCCUAAUUGGUUGCAGGAUACUUUAUUACAUUUGCACUUUUCAAGACAGAUUUGGAGCAUGUGGUUUGCAGCUGCUGAAUGGUGUUCAGAGUUCUGCAAGAUAUCACUUUGCAUUGCUGCUUGUAUCAUUUAUGUGUUUAAAUCCAAAAGAUGAAGAAAAAAGUGGAGAAGAGUGAAAAACAAAGCCACAGUGGGGAAAGAACAUGCCAUGGACACCUUCUACCAUCAAGCAUGGUCAUUCCAUGCUGUCAAGGCAUUUAUCUAAGCCUUACAGUAGACUGGCAAAUAGAGUGGUUACACAAAGAGCAUAUAGUUUUUUUCAUCUUUUCAGAAAAAAUGAAGAUUCAGUUCAAUAAAAAGUAUGGAAUAUUA